GAGGAACCUGAGCCUAGUGAUCUGAACUCCAAGAAACACUUUUCUUUGUAAGUAAAAUCAGUUACUAUUUUUGGUUAGCUUAAAACCAACCUUUUCAACCAAAGAUUAUGUUUUCUUUUAAAGCUAACCUUGAAAUGAAAAGGCACCAAUUCAGCUUUGAAUUAAUAUCAUUUGCAAAGUGAAAACCCAUCCCAGUGAACGAUCCUAGAGCCACUAUGCUAUAGUAGCUUUGUCUUUG
This 238-nucleotide long non-coding RNA is filed under the name Vitis vinifera (wine grape). Its description in RNAcentral is "long non-coding RNA (VVIN_LNC006905)". Lineage: Eukaryota; Viridiplantae; Streptophyta; Magnoliopsida; Vitales; Vitaceae. The record is from RNAcentral.